UCCUGAGAUAACGCGCCCUGCUGGGACC
Molecule: non-coding RNA, 28 nt
Filed under: Bombyx mori (domestic silkworm)
Lineage: Eukaryota; Metazoa; Arthropoda; Insecta; Lepidoptera; Bombycidae
Source: RNAcentral